RNAcentral lists this ribosomal RNA (460 nucleotides) under uncultured bacterium. Its description in RNAcentral is "partial 16S ribosomal RNA". It matches the Rfam family "Bacterial small subunit ribosomal RNA", at positions 338 to 795 of the family's 1533-position model. The record is from RNAcentral.
CCUACGGGCGGCAGCAGUAAGGAAUAUUGGUCAAUGGACGAGAGUCUGAACCAGCCAAGUAGCGUGAAGGAUGACUGCCCUAUGGGUUGUAAACUUCUUUUAUAUGGGAAUAAAAUGUUCCACGUGUGGGAUUUUGUAUGUACCAUAUGAAUAAGGAUCGGCUAACUCCGUGCCAGCAGCCGCGGUAAUACGGAGGAUCCGAGCGUUAUCCGGAUUUAUUGGGUUUAAAGGGAGCGUAGGUGGAUUGUUAAGUCAGUUGUGAAAGUUUGCGGCUCAACCGUAAAAUUGCAGUUGAAACUGGCAGUCUUGAGUACAGUAGAGGUGGGCGGAAUUCGUGGUGUAGCGGUGAAAUGCUUAGAUAUCACGAAGAACUCCGAUUGCGAAGGCAGUUCACUGGACUGCAACUGACACUGAGGCUCGAAAGUGUGGGUAUCAAACAGGAUUAGAUACCCGAGUAGUC